RNAcentral lists this long non-coding RNA (850 nucleotides) under Gossypium raimondii (Peruvian cotton). RNAcentral describes it as "long non-coding RNA (GRAI_LNC000085)". Lineage: Eukaryota; Viridiplantae; Streptophyta; Magnoliopsida; Malvales; Malvaceae. The record is from RNAcentral.
CAGUUAAUUCCUUCAAAUCAUUAUUAGCACAUAUAUCUUAACAGCAAACCCAGAAAACCAUCCAUCAUGAUCAUUUCAUAUAAACAACCAUACCUCUCAAGUUGAUGAUCCUUCAGAGUCGACUUGGUUUGGUUCAAUCACAUCCGCUUGUACCAUACAAUUGUUUCAUUCUUACAGUUCAAGAUGGUAAAAGCUGUAAGAAUUCCUUAAUGAGGAGAAAAGGAUAAAUGAAAAGAAAAAGUAAGAGAUGAUACGCUUUAUCCAUCUUCAGAGUCAACUUGGUUUGGUUCAAUCACAUCCGCUUGUACCGUAUAUUUCACUUUUACAGUUCAUGAUGGUUAAAGCUGUAAGAAUUCAUUCAUGAGGAGAAAAAGGAUGAAGGAAAAGAAAAAGGUAAGACAUGAUACACUUUAACCGUCUGCAGAGUUCAACUUGGUUCGAUUCAAUCACUUCCACUAGAAUCAUAUAAUUGUUCCAUUUUUUACAGUUGAAGAUGGUUAAAGCUGUAAGAUCCAUUCAUGAGGACAAAGGAAUAAAGGAAAAGGAAAAAGAAAAGAAAGAGUAAGAGAUGACACGCUUAUAAGAGUUCUUUUUAUCUUAUAUUUCUCCAUCAGUAACAUCUGCAUAUGUUAAAUCAGAAACAUCUGUUAAUCAUAUCCAGCCAAUUACUCCAUAACAUCAAUUCUUUUGGUCAUAAUUAUACUAACAGUUCGAUCAAAAGAUAAUAAGGUAAGACCAGCAAUGCAUAAAGCAUCUUACUUGCACAAUAAAGGAUAACAUAAAUGCGUGUAAGCUGCAAACCUUCCCGCAAUGCUGCAACAAUUGCAACAGACAAGAAAACAAAACCAGC